Ziziphus jujuba (common jujube) is the source of this 3203-nucleotide RNA transcript. It is a transcript of the gene named transcription factor bHLH19, with no coding region annotated. NCBI's taxonomy places the organism in Eukaryota, Viridiplantae, Streptophyta, Magnoliopsida, Rosales, Rhamnaceae. The record is from RefSeq and is a predicted model, not a curated record. The transcript has 3 exons.
UACAUACAUAUAUAUAUAUAUAUAUAUAUUUUUUUUUUUUCCAAAAUCAAAUUGUUGCUUAGAUACGUGUCCUUGCUUGGCAUUUAGAGAUUUCAGACUGCCUUUUGCGAGAGUAAAACUCAUGUUAAUCAUUUCCCGCACUAUUAGACCGAGUCCUGCUUGUCUGUCGAUGCAUCUUAACUGCUGCGCGCCAAGCGUUCAACAAAAUUCCUGAGAGAGGUGACACUCAUUUUACUGAUUCUGAUUCUUGGAAAAGGAUAUGAAGAUGUUUGUGAUAGAGGACUAGCGAAGCAAUCCUGGCUGCUUUAAAGCAUUGGAGCCGGUUUAACAGAUGAACUGGGUAGGAAGGAAGCUCACAAAAUACUCUCUUUGUACAGCGCUCAAUUCUUGUGCUAAAACCCUGAACUGGCGCUUAGGUUUGCAAAUUCAUGCUCAUGUUAUUAAAAUUGGAUACGAAGACAAUUUGUUUUUGAACACUGCGCUCGUUGAUUUGUAUGCAAAAUGUAAUGCUGUUGUGGAUUCUAGAAGGAUAUUUUACUGCAUGAAAAGGCAUGAUCAAGUCUCGUGGACGUCAAUUAUAACUGGGUUCUCGCAGAAUGGCCAUGGAAUAGAAGCCAUUUCGAUGUUUAAAGCGAUGCUGAGCACCGAGAUCAAACCCAAUAGUUUUACUUAUGUUAGUGUUAUAAGUGCAUGUACUCGGCUCACUGGUGCUCUUAAACAAGUUUCAUUGCUUCAUGCUCAUGUUAUGAGACUUGGUUUCGAUGAAAACAGUUUUGUUGUCAGCACUUUAAUUGAUUGUUAUUCAAAGUGGGGAGCAAUGGAUCAAGCUGCAUUGUUAUUUUCUGAGACAGCAGAUAGGGAUAAUAUUCUUUUCAAUUCUAUGAUUUCAGGGUAUUCACAGAACCUAUACAGUGAAGAGGCUCUAAAACUGUUUAUGGAAAUGAGGAAUAAGCAUUUGAGUCCUACCAGUCAUACUUUAACCAGUAUUUUAAAUGCCUGUGGAAGCCUUGCAGUACUUCAACAGGGAUGCCAAAUACACUCUCUGGUCACAAAAAUGGGUUCAGAAAGUAAUGUUUUUGUGGUCAGUGCUUUGAUAGAUAUGUAUUCAAAAUGUGGCAGCAUUGAUUGGGCUCGUUAUGUAUUUGAUCGGACAGUGGAAAAGAAUAGUAUUUUGUGGACUUCAAUGAUCAUGGGUUAUGCUCAGAGUGGUAGGGGGUUGGAUGCAUUAGAGCUUUUUGAGCAUGCUAAGGCUGAAGAAAGGUUCACGCCAGACCAUAUCUGUUUCACUGCUGUUUUGACAGCCUGUAAUCAUGCAGGGCUUCUUGAAAGAGGAGUAGAUUAUUUUAACCAAAUGAGACAGGAUUAUGGGCUAGUUCCUGAGCUAGAUCAGUAUGCCUGCCUGGUUGAUCUCUAUGCAAGAAAUGGGCGUCUGAGAAAGGCAAAGGAGUUAAUAAAGGAAAUGCCUUAUAAACCAAACUAUGUAAUGUGGAGUUCAUUCUUAAGUUCUUGCAAGAUAGAUGGUGAAGUAGACCUUGCACGAGAGGCUGCUCAAAAACUGAUUGAGAUGGACCCAAGUAAUGCUGCCCCUUACGUAACGUUGUCUCAUAUUUAUGCAAGAGCUGGUUUAUGGGAUGAAGUAGCUGAGGUUAGGAAAUCGAUGCAACAAAAGGCAAUAAGGAAAAGUGCAGGAUGGAGUUGGGUUGAAGUAGAUAAAGUGGUUCAUGUCUUUUCAGUCAGUGAUAUUGCUCACCCUUGUACGGGAGAUAUAUAUGUAGAGUUGGAAAAGCUGAACAUGGAAAUGAAAGAGACUAGUUAUAUGCUCAAACAAAUAGAAAAUAUUGUUGGAGAAUAGUUUUAGCAAACUGAUAACUCAUACUUAGGAAUAUUUACAGUAGUUGGUAAUGGAGGAGCCAAAUAUUUUGGUUGUUGAGGCUUAUUUAUGUGGGACCACUGUGGUUGCGUAGAAGUGUGGUGCUUAGUUUAAUGUCUAGGCCUUCAUGUCAUACGAAUACUACUUAUUAAGAAUUCAGUGAUCACUCAUUACUGGAAGGUCUUUUGGAAGUAAGACCAGGUACUUUCAACGCCUUCACCCAUCGAUCCCCUAGACUUGGUGUCUGACUUCUUGAAGACAAACACGGAGAAACUCGUCCUACAAGAUUCUUAUCAUGUGUGAAGAGACAAAUACUGAUUCCCCGGCAUGGUCAUUUUAUUGGAAAAAGGGCAAGGAUUUCGGUGGGCAUACUGUCCGCUAGUUUUAUGAGAUUCUACUUUACUGGUACAGAUGUACAUUUAUUAUAAAUUAUACAUACCAGUGAUUUUUUUUUUUUUUUUUUGAUAAACAUAUAUAGCAAUGAUUUUAUUAUAUACAAGUGUUUGAAACCAAAUAACAACUUUAUGUGCUACGUACAAAGACCAACUAUUUUCAUAAGAUCAUAAAUGUUUACCAAUUUGGUGAACAUCUUUUAUAGAUCCCACCUAGUAGCACAUGGGUCUAUACAUGCUGCUGCAUGGUAAUUGCUGCAAUUGUUGCAAUUUUCUGCCUCGGCUUGUGAAAUAUAGCAGUAGAAUAUAAAUAUUUCCGCCAUUUUUUUUAAUUUCCCAUAAAAAUUCAUUUAUUCUUCUCGCUGGCAUUUUAGAGCACUUGCUUAUAGAGAAAAAUUAUAUGAUGUUGAAAACUGUGCUUCACACAGCAAAAAGAAAACAUUAUCUCGCCUUAAGAUGGGUGCUCUAUAGGCUGUGAAGCUGUAACUUUGUCAUUUACCAAGAAUUAUUUGAAAAUAUAAGAAAGAUUAUUACAGAGGAUAUGUGGAAAUCUUAGAAUCAUUUUAUAUUUUAAGAGUUUUACAAUUUGAAGGAUUCAAUUUAAAUUUUUUGAUUAGUUGUAGAUGGCGAAGCUUUUUCUAAUUGAAUGUAUAUAUGGUUCGUCCACCUUAAUUAUAAUGUUUGAUAAUCUGUGAUGAAAAAUAGUUUUCUGUAUUUUAUAUAUUUGUGCAUAACUUUACUCGGCCCAGUGUCACAUGUGAGUAAAUUUUAGGUCAGCAAUAAAUCACCUUGGAUUUGCAUAAAAUGUUUGAUUGAUAUUUUCCAUCACGUUGGCAGGUUAUAUAUGGUUUUGUUUAUUCAUUUUCCAUUAAACAAUCUUACCACUCUCUUGCAUUGUGACAACUAUUUUAAACCAAGUCGGUCAAAUUGUUCACGCAUAG